AUUGAACGCUGGCGGCAGGCCUAACACAUGCAAGUCGAACGGUAACAGGAUACAACUUGCUGCUUCGCUGACGAGUGUCGGACGGGUGAGUAAUGUCUGGGAGACUCCCUGUUUUAGUGGGGUAACUACUGGAAACGGUAGCGCAUACCCCAUAACGUCGCUAGACCAAAGAGGGGGACCUUAUGGCCUCUUGCGCUCUUAUGUGCCCAGAUGGGAGUAGCUAGUAGGGGGGGUAAAGGCCCACCCAGGCGACGAUCCCUAGCUGGUCUGAGAGGAUGAGCAGCCACACUGGAACUGAGACACGGUCCAGACUCCUACGGGAGGCAGCAGUGGGGAAUAUUGGACAAUGGGCGCAAGCCUGAUGCAGCCAUACCGCGUGUAUGAAGAAGGCCUUCGGGUUGUAAAGUACUUUCAGCGGGAAGGAAGAUAGUCAAGUUAAUACCUCUCUGUACUGACGUUACCCGAAGAAGAAGCACCGGCUAACUCCGUG
Molecule: ribosomal RNA, 490 nt
Filed under: uncultured bacterium
Lineage: Bacteria
Description: partial 16S ribosomal RNA
Rfam family: Bacterial small subunit ribosomal RNA
Source: RNAcentral